AUCCAGAUCUGAGUUUGAUCCUGGCUCAGGAUGAACGCUGGCGGCGUGCCUAAUACAUGCAAGUCGAGCGAGGUUCUUCGGAACCUAGCGGCGGACGGGUGAGUAACACGUGGGUAACCUGCCUGUAAGACUGGGAUAACUUCGGGAAACCGAAGCUAAUACCGGAUACUUUCGAGCAUCGCAUGAUGCUUGAUGGAAAGACGGCUUCGGCUGUCACUUACAGAUGGACCCGCGUCGCAUUAGCUAGUUGGUGAGGUAACGGCUCACCAAGGCGACGAUGCGUAGCCGACCUGAGAGGGUGAUCGGCCACACUGGGACUGAGACACGGCCCAGACUCCUACGGGAGGCAGCAGUAGGGAAUCUUCGGCAAUGGGCGAAAGCCUGACCGAGCAACGCCGCGUGAGCGAUGAAGGCCUUCGGGUCGUAAAGCUCUGUUGUUAAGGAAGAACAAGUACGAGAGUAACUGCUCGUACCUUGACGGUACUUAACGAGAAAGCCACGGCUAACUACGUGCCAGCAGCCGCGGUAAUACGUAGGUGGCAAGCGUUAUCCGGAAUUAUUGGGCGUAAAGCGCGCGCAGGCGGUUUCUUAAGUCUGAUGUGAAAGCCCACGGCUCAACCGUGGAGGGUCAUUGGAAACUGGGGAACUUGAGUGCAGAAGAGGAAAGCGGAAUUCCACGUGUAGCGGUGAAAUGCGUAGAGAUGUGGAGGAACACCAGUGGCGAAGGCGGCUUUCUGGUCUG
Molecule: ribosomal RNA, 742 nt
Filed under: uncultured bacterium
Lineage: Bacteria
Description: bacterial SSU rRNA
Rfam family: Bacterial small subunit ribosomal RNA
Source: RNAcentral